This 513-nucleotide ribosomal RNA is filed under the name Mesalina rubropunctata. RNAcentral's name for it is "partial 16S ribosomal RNA". It matches the Rfam family "Bacterial large subunit ribosomal RNA", at positions 1849 to 2620 of the family's 2925-position model. The record is from RNAcentral. Lineage: Eukaryota; Metazoa; Chordata; Lepidosauria; Squamata; Lacertidae.
AAGGUCCAGCCUGCCCAGUGACCCAUUCAACGGCCGCGGUAUCCUAACCGUGCAAAGGUAGCAUAAUCACUUGUCCCUUAAAUAGAGACUAGCAUGAACGGCUAAAUGAGGAUUAAACUGUCUCUUAUAAUUAACCUAUGAAACUGAUCUUGUAGUCCAAAAGCUACAAUAAAUACACCAGACGAGAAGACCCUGUGGAGCUUCUAAACCAAAACCAAACUAUGGCCCUUAGGUUUUUAGUUGGGGCAACUUCGGAGCAUACAUUAACCUCCGAUAAAACACAAUCUAGACUAACAAGUCAAAACAAUCUCAUGACCCAAUAGUUUAAUAUAAACUAUUUGACCAAUGAACCAAGUUACCCCAGGGAUAACAGCGCUAUCCCCUUUUAGAGUCCCUAUCGACAAGGGGGCUUACGACCUCGAUGUUGGAUCAGGACACCCAAAUAAUGCAACCGUUAUUAAAGGUUCGUUUGUUCAACGAUUAAAGUCCUACGUGAUCUGAGUUCAGACCGGA